Molecule: ribosomal RNA, 465 nt
Filed under: Vreelandella stevensii
Lineage: Bacteria; Pseudomonadati; Pseudomonadota; Gammaproteobacteria; Oceanospirillales; Halomonadaceae
Description: partial 16S ribosomal RNA
Rfam family: Bacterial small subunit ribosomal RNA
Source: RNAcentral
CCUACGGGGAGCAGCAGUGGGGAAUAUUGGACAAUGGGCGAAAGCCUGAUCCAGCCAUGCCGCGUGUGUGAAGAAGGCCUUCGGGUUGUAAAGCACUUUCAGUGGGGAAGAAAGCCUUGGGGCUAAUACCCUCGAGGAAGGACAUCACCCACAGAAGAAGCACCGGCUAACUCCGUGCCAGCAGCCGCGGUAAUACGGAGGGUGCGAGCGUUAAUCGGAAUUACUGGGCGUAAAGCGCGCGUAGGCGGUCUGAUAAGCCGGUUGUGAAAGCCCCGGGCUCAACCUGGGAACGGCAUCCGGAACUGGCAGGCUAGAGUGCAGGAGAGGAAGGUAGAAUUCCCGGUGUAGCGGUGAAAUGCGUAGAGAUCGGGAGGAAUACCAGUGGCGAAGGCGGCCUUCUGGACUGACACUGACGCUGAGGUGCGAAAGCGUGGGUAGCAAACAGGAUUAGAUACCCCAGUAGUC